AAAACACUCCUCCCGUGCCGGUGUCUUGCGGCACCUGGAGGGUUCUGGUGGAUGCCCACACGUCUGAACUGUGUGUGCACUGCUCAAAUCAGCUGUCCGCGAGCCUGGGGAUCGCAGUCGACGUAGUGAGAUUCAAUCUCGUUGGCUGUAAGACCUGACAGAGGCAACGGGACCUUAAGCGCCAUGGCGCCGACACUGUAAC
This 202-nucleotide unclassified non-coding RNA is filed under the name uncultured Hydnotrya. RNAcentral describes it as "sequence contains ITS2". Lineage: Eukaryota; Fungi; Ascomycota; Pezizomycetes; Pezizales; Discinaceae. The record is from RNAcentral.